This 301-nucleotide ribosomal RNA is filed under the name uncultured bacterium. Its description in RNAcentral is "partial 16S ribosomal RNA". It matches the Rfam family "Bacterial small subunit ribosomal RNA", at positions 509 to 807 of the family's 1533-position model. The record is from RNAcentral.
CAGCCGCCGCGGUAAUACGUAGGGUGCAAGCGUUAAUCGGAAUUACUGGGCGUAAAGCGUGCGCAGGCGGUUAUAUAAGACAGAUGUGAAAUCCCCGGGCUCAACCUGGGAACUGCAUUUGUGACUGUAUAGCUAGAGUACGGCAGAGGGGGAUGGAAUUCCGCGUGUAGCAGUGAAAUGCGUAGAUAUGCGGAGGAACACCGAUGGCGAAGGCAAUCCCCUGGGCCGGUACUGACGCUCAUGCACGAAAGCGUGGGGAGCAAACAGGAUUAGAUACCCGAGUAGUCCCUGUCUCUUAUAC